Molecule: ribosomal RNA, 2904 nt
Filed under: Klebsiella pneumoniae
Lineage: Bacteria; Pseudomonadati; Pseudomonadota; Gammaproteobacteria; Enterobacterales; Enterobacteriaceae
Description: 23S ribosomal RNA
Rfam family: Bacterial large subunit ribosomal RNA
Source: RNAcentral
GGUUAAGCGACUAAGCGUACACGGUGGAUGCCCUGGCAGUCAGAGGCGAUGAAGGACGUGCUAAUCUGCGAAAAGCGUCGGUAAGGUGAUAUGAACCGUUAUAACCGGCGAUGUCCGAAUGGGGAAACCCAGUGCAAUUCGUUGCACUAUCGUUAACUGAAUACAUAGGUUAACGAGGCGAACCGGGGGAACUGAAACAUCUAAGUACCCCGAGGAAAAGAAAUCAACCGAGAUUCCCCCAGUAGCGGCGAGCGAACGGGGAGCAGCCCAGAGUCUGAAUCAGCUUGUGUGUUAGUGGAACGGUCUGGAAAGUCCGACGGUACAGGGUGAUAGUCCCGUACACCAAAAUGCACAGGCUGUGAACUCGAAGAGUAGGGCGGGACACGUGGUAUCCUGUCUGAAUAUGGGGGGACCAUCCUCCAAGGCUAAAUACUCCUGACUGACCGAUAGUGAACCAGUACCGUGAGGGAAAGGCGAAAAGAACCCCGGCGAGGGGAGUGAAAAAGAACCUGAAACCGUGUACGUACAAGCAGUGGGAGCACCUUUAUGGUGUGACUGCGUACCUUUUGUAUAAUGGGUCAGCGACUUAUAUUCUGUAGCAAGGUUAACCGUAUAGGGGAGCCGCAGGGAAACCGAGUCUUAACUGGGCGUUAAGUUGCAGGGUAUAGACCCGAAACCCGGUGAUCUAGCCAUGGGCAGGUUGAAGGUUGGGUAACACUAACUGGAGGACCGAACCGACUAAUGUUGAAAAAUUAGCGGAUGACUUGUGGCUGGGGGUGAAAGGCCAAUCAAACCGGGAGAUAGCUGGUUCUCCCCGAAAGCUAUUUAGGUAGCGCCUCGUGAAUUCAUCUUCGGGGGUAGAGCACUGUUUCGGCUAGGGGGUCAUCCCGACUUACCAACCCGAUGCAAACUACGAAUACCGAAGAAUGUUAUCACGGGAGACACACGGCGGGUGCUAACGUCCGUCGUGAAGAGGGAAACAACCCAGACCGCCAGCUAAGGUCCCAAAGUCAUGGUUAAGUGGGAAACGAUGUGGGAAGGCACAGACAGCCAGGAUGUUGGCUUAGAAGCAGCCAUCAUUUAAAGAAAGCGUAAUAGCUCACUGGUCGAGUCGGCCUGCGCGGAAGAUGUAACGGGGCUAAACCAUGCACCGAAGCUGCGGCAGCGACACUAUGUGUUGUUGGGUAGGGGAGCGUUCUGUAAGCCUGCGAAGGUGUGCUGUGAGGCAUGCUGGAGGUAUCAGAAGUGCGAAUGCUGACAUAAGUAACGAUAAAGCGGGUGAAAAGCCCGCUCGCCGGAAGACCAAGGGUUCCUGUCCAACGUUAAUCGGGGCAGGGUGAGUCGACCCCUAAGGCGAGGCCGAAAGGCGUAGUCGAUGGGAAACAGGUUAAUAUUCCUGUACUUGGUGUUACUGCAGAAGGGGGGACGGAGAAGGCUAUGUUAGCCGGGCGACGGUUGUCCCGGUUUAAGCAUGUAGGCUGGUUGUCCAGGCAAAUCCGGAUAAUCAAGGCUGAGGUGUGAUGACGAGGCACUACGGUGCUGAAGUAACAAAUGCCCUGCUUCCAGGAAAAGCCUCUAAGCAUCAGGUAACAUCAAAUCGUACCCCAAACCGACACAGGUGGUCAGGUAGAGAAUACCAAGGCGCUUGAGAGAACUCGGGUGAAGGAACUAGGCAAAAUGGUGCCGUAACUUCGGGAGAAGGCACGCUGGUGUGUAGGUGAAGCCCCUGCGGGUGGAGCUGAGACCAGUCGAAGAUACCAGCUGGCUGCAACUGUUUAUUAAAAACACAGCACUGUGCAAACACGAAAGUGGACGUAUACGGUGUGACGCCUGCCCGGUGCCGGAAGGUUAAUUGAUGGGGUUAUCCGUAAGGAGAAGCUCUUGAUCGAAGCCCCGGUAAACGGCGGCCGUAACUAUAACGGUCCUAAGGUAGCGAAAUUCCUUGUCGGGUAAGUUCCGACCUGCACGAAUGGCGUAAUGAUGGCCAGGCUGUCUCCACCCGAGACUCAGUGAAAUUGAACUCGCUGUGAAGAUGCAGUGUACCCGCGGCAAGACGGAAAGACCCCGUGAACCUUUACUAUAGCUUGACACUGAACAUUGAGCCUUGAUGUGUAGGAUAGGUGGGAGGCUUUGAAGCGUGGACGCCAGUCUGCGUGGAGCCAACCUUGAAAUACCACCCUUUAAUGUUUGAUGUUCUAACGUUGGCCCCUUACCGGGGUUGCGGACAGUGUCUGGUGGGUAGUUUGACUGGGGCGGUCUCCUCCCAAAGCGUAACGGAGGAGCACGAAGGUUAGCUAAUCCUGGUCGGACAUCAGGAGGUUAGUGCAAUGGCAUAAGCUAGCUUGACUGCGAGCGUGACGGCGCGAGCAGGUGCGAAAGCAGGUCAUAGUGAUCCGGUGGUUCUGAAUGGAAGGGCCAUCGCUCAACGGAUAAAAGGUACUCCGGGGAUAACAGGCUGAUACCGCCCAAGAGUUCAUAUCGACGGCGGUGUUUGGCACCUCGAUGUCGGCUCAUCACAUCCUGGGGCUGAAGUAGGUCCCAAGGGUAUGGCUGUUCGCCAUUUAAAGUGGUACGCGAGCUGGGUUUAGAACGUCGUGAGACAGUUCGGUCCCUAUCUGCCGUGGGCGCUGGAGAAUUGAGGGGGGCUGCUCCUAGUACGAGAGGACCGGAGUGGACGCAUCACUGGUGUUCGGGUUGUCAUGCCAAUGGCACUGCCCGGUAGCUAAAUGCGGAAGAGAUAAGUGCUGAAAGCAUCUAAGCACGAAACUUGCCCCGAGAUGAGUUCUCCCUGAGACUAUAAGUCUCCUGAAGGAACGUUAAAGACGAUGACGUUGAUAGGCCGGGUGUGUAAGCGCAGCGAUGCGUUGAGCUAACCGGUACUAAUGAACCGUGAGGCUUAACCUU